GACGAACGCUGGCGGCGCGCUUAACACAUGCAAGUCGAGCGAAGCGGCGGACGGGUUAGUAACACGUGAGUAACCUGCCUUAGACAUUGGGAUAGCCUCGGGAAACCGGGAUUAAUACCAACUGGUCUAAGAUGGACUCGCGUCCGAUUAGCUCGUUGGUGAGGUAACGGCGCACAAAGGCGACGAUGGGUAGCCGGGCUGGGAGGGUGAACGGCCACAUUGGAAGUGACAAACGGUCCGAACUCUACGGGAGGCAGCAGUGGGGAAUAUUGCACAAUGGGGGGCAGUCUGAUGCAGUGGCGCCGCGUGAACGAAGAAGGAUUUCGAGUCGUAAAGUUCUGUUAUAUGGGAAGCGGUACCAUAAGAAAAAGCCCCGGCUAACUACGUGCCAGCAGCCGCGGUAAUUC
RNAcentral lists this ribosomal RNA (407 nucleotides) under uncultured bacterium. Its description in RNAcentral is "partial 16S ribosomal RNA". It matches the Rfam family "Bacterial small subunit ribosomal RNA", at positions 28 to 526 of the family's 1533-position model. The record is from RNAcentral.